GUCCAGACUCCUACGGGAGGCAGCAGUGGGGAAUAUUGGACAAUGGGGGGAACCCUGAUCCAGCGACGCCGCGUGAGUGAAGAAGUAUUUCGGUAUGUAAAGCUCUAUCAGCAGGGAAGAAAGAAAUGACGGUACCUGACUAAGAAGCCCCGGCUAACUACGUGCCAGCAGCCGCGGUAAUACGUAGGGGGCAGGCGUUAUCCGGAUUUACUGGGUGUAAAGGGAGCGUAGACGGCAGUGCAAGUCUGGAGUGAAAGGCGGGGGCUCAACCCCCGGACUGCUCUGGAAACUGUACGGCUGGAGUGCAGGAGAGGUAAGUGGAAUUCCUAGUGUAGCGGUGAAAUGCGUAGAUAUUAGGAGGAACACCAGUGGCGAAGGCGGCUUACUGGACUGUACCUGACGCUGAGGCGCGAAAGCGUGGGUAGCGAACGGGAUUAGAUACCCUGGUAA
RNAcentral lists this ribosomal RNA (450 nucleotides) under uncultured bacterium. RNAcentral's name for it is "bacterial SSU rRNA". It matches the Rfam family "Bacterial small subunit ribosomal RNA", at positions 329 to 793 of the family's 1533-position model. The record is from RNAcentral.